AGUGAACGCUGGCGGUAGGCCUAACACAUGCAAGUCGAACGGCAGCACCGUAAGAGCUUGCUCUUACGGGUGGCGAGUGGCGGACGGGUGAGGAAUACAUCGGAAUCUACUUUUUCGUGGGGGAUAACGUAGGGACACUUACGCUAAUACCGCAUACGACCUACGGGUUAAAGCAGGGGAUCUUCGGACCUUGCGCGAUUGAAUGAGCCGAUGUCGGAUUAGCUAGUUGGCGGGGUAAAGGCCCACCAAGGCGACGAUCCGUAGCUGGUCUGAGAGGAGGAUCAGCCACACUGGAACUGAGACACGGUCCAGACUCCUACGGGAGGCAGCAGUGGGGAAUAUUGGACAAUGGGCGCAAGCCUGAUCCAGCCAUACCGCGUGGGUGAAGAAGGCCUUCGGGUUGUAAAGCCCUUUUGUUGGGAAAGAAAAGCAGCAGGUUAAUACCCCGCUGUUCUGACGGUACCCAAAGAAUAAGCACCGGCUAACUUCGUG
This 492-nucleotide ribosomal RNA is filed under the name uncultured bacterium. RNAcentral's name for it is "partial 16S ribosomal RNA". It matches the Rfam family "Bacterial small subunit ribosomal RNA", at positions 29 to 507 of the family's 1533-position model. The record is from RNAcentral.